RNAcentral lists this unclassified non-coding RNA (205 nucleotides) under Hevea brasiliensis (rubber tree). Lineage: Eukaryota; Viridiplantae; Streptophyta; Magnoliopsida; Malpighiales; Euphorbiaceae. The record is from RNAcentral.
GGGAAGCUCAUAAUUUAAUAACAAAACAAGCACAAUAAAUACUUAGGGUACCUUCAACAGCAUCCUUUAAAAUAGGAAAAACUUAGUUAGAGUUAUCAUCAUGUAGCAUUACUUAAUUAUUGUGUUAUGAGUCACAAUAUAUUAAUCUACUAAUUUCCUUAACAUGGAUCAUUUUUGUUUCAGGUUGCAGAUUUUGGGCUGGCUA